ACAAUGAGGCAUUUCAGGGCUCAGUCGCUUUAGGAAAAAAAGCUGGAGCUAGCCACGCCCACCCACCCCCCACACAGGCUGCUAUAAGCUGAGAAGCUCCAACGUCAGGCUCAGAGUAGAGCUGCUGCUGGAGGACCAGCGGCUCUUUCUUUCAUGUGAUAGGUUGAUUUAAUCUAAUUUUUCCAUUUGUGACAUCACAAACGGGAUUUUUUUAAACCAGUUGGUUUAGGCACAUAUCCUAAAACCAAACACUGACAGAAAACAGAUGGAUGGACUUUUUUACCCUUGUGGGGUGUUUAUAGAGACAGUAGAGACCCACAUGGCAAAACAAAAGGAUAUAAAAGACCACAGACUGCGGCAGGCCAAGUUCGGCUAAUGCUCUCCACUUUUGAGUGGAGUGACGAGACCCCUCAUUUCCCCUCCCGUCUACAGUAUCUCCCUCCAGCCGGAGACCUGCGGUGUGGCUGAAGCCUCAUGAAGAACGACACGGACAGACCAGACUCUCAGGAAGCUCUCCCCAACAAACACUGCCUGGGAAAAACUCCUACACAGUCUCCUCCCUAUCAGCCAAUCACAGGUGGCAGGACUCAGGCACCAUCAUCCAUAAAAUUAUAUUAAAUAUGAAACCACUGUUUCUGUUUUGGGAGGGAUUUAAUGCAUGAGCUAGAAAAGACAAGAAAGAAUAAGACAAAAUAACAUAAUGCACUCUAUUGCUCGGGUUGAAAAUGGAGGAGAUAAUCCAGCAUGCGAGCAGGGGACAGAAUCAGACCCCGUGGAGCCUGUUAGGAAACAGCUUUAAUUCAUACCAAAUCAUCCCACCACAGCUGCCCUCCUCCCUCUGUUCCCAGGCAGAAUUCAUCUCAGCCAGAUACAAUGAGACUAACUUUUUUGUCAUUUAUAAAAGGCAGCUGUCCCAUUUUUAGCCCCACAAAGCUCCAGCUGAGUCAUAGUCAGACUCUGACAACAAACACAGGCAGAAAAAUUACAAUCAGCCAAACACAAUGAGAUCUAAUGGGCCAAGUAUAUGUACAAAAAUAAUAAUUGAGAAAGAGACAAGAACAGAAUGUAUGGCACAGGUUUAACCUCUACUUACAAUUUCAGUUGUGAAAAACACUGAGGCUGUUUCAACAAUACAUGGUAUUAAAAUCAGCUAGACCAGCAUUGUGUCUGGCCAAGAAAAAUAACAAAAUCCUGACUUCUUUUUAUAGUCAGGGUUCACAAACAGUGUGAGGUUUCAGUGAAAAUCGAACAAAACGGGCUGAAAGUCUCUCCUGCGGGCAGAAACAAAGAAUAACAGACAAACAUUAGUGUAUUUAUCAGGCCAACGUGCAAUGUGCUUAUAAUAUUAACAAGACAUCUGGAAGCUCUCCAAAAACAAGACGCUGACCCCAAAGUCAGCGUUUUCUUGUUCAGAUUUCUCUUUUUUUAACCAAUAAAAUAUACUUUUUACAUAUUUCUUGCAGUGCUGAAAGUAAAUAUUAGCGUCAAACUAAAACAAAUAAGAAGAUUAAUUAAUUUAAGUCAUUUGUUCUUCAAUUUAUACAUAAAAAAGCUGUCUCAAAUGAGUAAAAGUUUUAGUCUUCUCGUUUAUUUUAUUAUUUUUUUCCCUGCUGUCUGGCAGCUUUGUGAUGGAGGUAUGACUCUGAGAAGUGCAGAGUUAUCUUUUCCCAUUUAAAUGCUAAUGAGCAUGCUGCCAUAGCAGUCAAAGCGCUGCAGAAACAGUGUGAAUUUUUAAUAUCUUAUCGCACCAAAAGGUAACAGCUCUCCUGGUGAGGUGGAGGAAUGAGUGCAUGUUCCCUCAUUAAGUCCAACACAAUUGAUGUGUCCCUCCGAGUGUGUCACGGCACUUUCAACUGGUGUGCUGUACGUACGUGUGUGUGUGUGGGCUUUCACAUCUGUCUGUGUCAUUUAGGCAUGCAGAUGUGCACAGCAGCUCGUUUCUCCCCAUUGACGGUAAUGAACAGCUGUUAAUUGCCUCCUGAUCGUGCGGGGAAGCCAGAGGACAGAGGUGGAAGUUGUCACAGCCUGUUAAUAAUUACUUUCUGGAGACGUUGGUGGCAAAAGGUUGGAGGGAGAAGUCAGUAAAUGUAAUAACACCCUUAUUAGAUAAUGACCUCUGCUCAUCUAGUCCUGUAUUCCCCGCUGAGGUAUGCAAACCACUUGUGGAAAGAUUUGAUUUAAUAUUUGUAAAGUGCAUAGUCUGCAAAAGUGAGAGCAUGUAGCUGUGCACUUUUGUGUUCUCCAACAAAAUGACAACUUUCUUAAAAUAGAUUUUUAAAAC
This is a non-coding RNA of Nothobranchius furzeri (turquoise killifish), 2281 nucleotides long. The record is from RefSeq and is a predicted model, not a curated record. NCBI's taxonomy places the organism in Eukaryota, Metazoa, Chordata, Actinopteri, Cyprinodontiformes, Nothobranchiidae.